GAUGAACGCUGGCGGCGUGCCUAAUACAUGCAAGUCGAGCGAACAGACGAGGAGCUUGCUCCUCUGACGUUAGCGGCGGACGGGUGAGUAACACGUGGAUAACCUACCUAUAAGACUGGGAUAUCUUCGGGAAACCGGAGCUAAUACCGGAUAAUAUAUUGAACCGCAUGGUUCAAUAGUGAAAGACGGUUUUGCUGUCACUUAUAGAUGGAUCCGCGCCGCAUUAGCUAGUUGGUAAGGUAACGGCUUACCAAGGCAACGAUGCGUAGCCGACCUGAGAGGGUGAUCGGCCACACUGGAACUGAGACACGGGCCAGACUCCUACGGGAGGCAGCAGUAGGGAAUCUUCCGCAAUGGGCGAAAGCCUGACGGAGCAACGCCGCGUGAGUGAUGAAGGUCUUCGGAUCGUAAAACUCUGUUAUUAGGGAAGAACAAAUGUGUAAGUAACUAUGCACGUCUUGACGGUACCUAAUCAGAAAGCCACGGCUAACUACGUG
RNAcentral lists this ribosomal RNA (497 nucleotides) under uncultured bacterium. Its description in RNAcentral is "partial 16S ribosomal RNA". It matches the Rfam family "Bacterial small subunit ribosomal RNA", at positions 28 to 507 of the family's 1533-position model. The record is from RNAcentral.